RNAcentral lists this small RNA (148 nucleotides) under Macaca fascicularis (crab-eating macaque). RNAcentral's name for it is "Metazoan signal recognition particle RNA (ENSMFAG00000047537.1)". Lineage: Eukaryota; Metazoa; Chordata; Mammalia; Primates; Cercopithecidae. The record is from Rfam by way of RNAcentral.
GCCAGGCAUGGUGGCGUGUGCCUGUAAUCCCAGCUAUUCAGGAGGCUGAGGCAGGAGAAUUGCUUGAACCUAGGAGGCAGAGGUUGCAGUGAGCUGAGAUCGUGCCACUGCACUCCAGCCUGGGUGACAGAGUGAGACUCUGUCUCAA